This 202-nucleotide long non-coding RNA is filed under the name Callithrix jacchus (white-tufted-ear marmoset). Its description in RNAcentral is "lncRNA (ENSCJAG00000085246.1)". The record is from RNAcentral. Lineage: Eukaryota; Metazoa; Chordata; Mammalia; Primates; Cebidae.
GAGGUAAAAGUACUAGCUAAAAACCUGCCUUCAGCCAGUGGGAGAACCCUGCAAAGCCAGACCAGAGAGAGGACCCAGUGAAGCUUCAUCCAGAUUCUUAACCUGCAGAAACUGGACAUAACACACCUUCCCUCGUGUCUUACUUGGCUCCUCUUGAAUUUGCAGAAAUAAUGCCCUGUACGGUGAGUACCUGUAGCACAUU